RNAcentral lists this microRNA precursor (103 nucleotides) under Marmota monax (woodchuck). The record is from RNAcentral. Lineage: Eukaryota; Metazoa; Chordata; Mammalia; Rodentia; Sciuridae.
AGAGGGAUAGCUGGGUCAGAUGGUGGUUCCAUUCCCAGUGUUCCAAGGAAUCUCCAUACUGCUUUCCAGAUUGGCUGCACCAAUUUGCAGUCCCACCAGCAAU